GCGGUGAAGUUGUGAAUAAAGCCAUCGCCACUACGGGGCGAUAUGUUCAUGGGUGAAAAUUCUACAGCCGGAUAAUGUGCUCAGACCUGCCUCUGCGUGUCGCCGUUGAGUUGCUCCACGGCUCUGGUUCAGCUCAGCGAGAGACCCCGCUGCUUUACCAUUGCAAUUCCCCUAUUAUUUCCCCCCAGCUUGUCUGAGCUCCGCAGUGUUUGCUCGGACGGACUAGGAGUCUGGGAGUGUGGAAUUGGUGUAUCAUGGCCGCCUGAAUACAAAUCUGAACACACUGUUUCUCUCUCCUUCCAUCCCCUUCCCUUGAGUGGUAGCGUUAGUGUCUGUGUCGUUUCGAGUUGUCGAAGAUUUCUCGGAAUUAUUUGAUUUCUUUAGGAAUAAAUCAUUCAUGUCCAUGCUCAAAAAUGCAGCCACCACCGAGAAAGGUAAAGGUGACUCAGGAGCUGAAGAACACGCAUACUGAGCAGAUGACAAGGCUCCACAUCAAGCAUCAGACAGAAUGUGACUUACUGGAAGACAUGAGGACCUACAGUCAGAAGAAGUCCAUCCUGGAGAGGGACUAUGCACAGGUAAGUGUGUGUGUGUGUGUGUGUGUGUGUGUG
Alosa sapidissima (American shad) is the source of this 611-nucleotide long non-coding RNA. RefSeq lists it as uncharacterized. The transcript is spliced from 3 exons. Lineage: Eukaryota; Metazoa; Chordata; Actinopteri; Clupeiformes; Clupeidae. The record is from RefSeq and is a predicted model, not a curated record.